Molecule: transfer RNA, 69 nt
Filed under: Trapezia lutea
Lineage: Eukaryota; Metazoa; Arthropoda; Malacostraca; Decapoda; Trapeziidae
Description: tRNA-Asn
Source: RNAcentral
UUGGUAGAAGCCAAAGUUUAGGCAUAUUACUGUUAAUAAUAUAAUUGAAAUUUAUUUUUUCCUAUCAAG